Molecule: long non-coding RNA, 558 nt
Organism: Pogoniulus pusillus (Red-fronted tinkerbird)
Lineage: Eukaryota; Metazoa; Chordata; Aves; Piciformes; Lybiidae
Exons: 4
Source: RefSeq, a predicted model, not a curated record
UUAUGCCCUGUGUGGAUGUCAGAGCAAGAGACCCAAGGACAUUAGGAUGCCCUACAGAAACUCAUCUGCACUCUGACGACAAAACCGUGGCCUGUGCUUAAAACCUCAGCCCCGCUGCUGCAAGUGAUCCCCAGAGCACCACGGGGGAGUCCCUGUCACCGCCGAGGCACCUGUGCUGUAACGGGACACAGUGGCCACUCCACCAGCGAGCUGACAACGUAGGCCCCUGGUCUCACACCGUUACUUCAGACAGUACAAAUAACAUCUAUGGAGCAUGUUUCACUGCCUUGCUUCCAGGGGAUAGUCAGUCUCACAGGGAUGACAGAAACCAAAUCAAGGAAUGUCGUUUGAUUAAGUUGGAGACAAUGGUAACAAAAAGAGGCUUGCUGUGACACUGGACAUGAUGACAGCCUUGAGUGGAGGAAAACCAGGAUUUUGGAGACCCUAAAAAUUGUGCAGUUUGACUCAGUGACAGGAUGUCUUUAUUCAUUACAUGUAAACAGCAAACUGGAAAGAGAGCAAAUUGUAGCCUAUAGUGAUCCUGUCUACACUGGUGAA